Molecule: ribosomal RNA, 348 nt
Filed under: Escherichia coli
Lineage: Bacteria; Pseudomonadati; Pseudomonadota; Gammaproteobacteria; Enterobacterales; Enterobacteriaceae
Description: partial 23S ribosomal RNA
Rfam family: Bacterial large subunit ribosomal RNA
Source: RNAcentral
UUUCGUCACACUAUCAUUAACUGAAUCCAUAGGUUAAUGAGGCGAACCGGGGGAACUGAAACAUCUAAGUACCCCGAGGAAAAGAAAUCAACCGAGAUUCCCCCAGUAGCGGCGAGCGAACGGGGAGGAGCCCAGAGCCUGAAUCAGUGUGUGUGUUAGUGGAAGCGUCUGGAAAGGCGCGCGAUACAGGGUGACAGCCCCGUACACAAAAAUGCACAUAUUGUGAGCUCGAUGAGUAGGGCGGGACACGUGGUAUCCUGUCUGAAUAUGGGGGGACCAUCCUCCAAGGCUAAAUACUCCUGACUGACCGAUAGUGAACCAGUACCGUGAGGGAAAGGCGAAAAGAAC